GACGAACGCUGGCGGCGUGCUUAACACAUGCAAGUCGAACGAAGACGAUGGAAGCUUGCUUCUAUCAAUCUUAGUGGCGAACGGGUGAGUAACGGCGUAAUCAACCUGCCCUUCAGAGGGGGACAACAGUUGGAAACGACUUGCUAAUACCGCAUACGAUCUAAUCUCGGCAUCGAGGAUAGAUGAAAGGUGGCCUCUACAUGUAAGCUAUCACUGAAGGAGGGGAUUGCGUCUGAUUAGCUAGUUGGAGGGGUAACGGCCCACCAAGGCGAUGAUCAGUAGCCGGUCUGAGAGGAUGAACGGCCACAUUGGGACUGAGACACGGCCCAGACUCCUACGGGAGGCAGCAGUGGGGAAUCUUCCGCAAUGGACGAAAGUCUGACGGAGCAACGCCGCGUGAGUGAUGACGGCCUUCGGGUUGUAAAGCUCUGUUAAUCGGGACGAAAGGCCUUCUUGCGAACAGUUAGAAGGAUUGACGGUACCGGAAUAGAAAGCCACG
RNAcentral lists this ribosomal RNA (499 nucleotides) under Veillonella parvula. RNAcentral describes it as "bacterial SSU rRNA". It matches the Rfam family "Bacterial small subunit ribosomal RNA", at positions 28 to 495 of the family's 1533-position model. Lineage: Bacteria; Bacillati; Bacillota; Negativicutes; Veillonellales; Veillonellaceae. The record is from RNAcentral.